CCUACGGGAGGCAGCAGUGAGGAAUAUUGGUCAAUGGACGCAAGUCUGAACCAGCCAUGCCGCGUGCAGGAAGACGUCUCUCUGAGUUUUAAACUCCUUUUGUACGAGGGUAAAUCCCUAUCCGUGUACCGCCUUGCAUGUACCGUACGAAUAAGGAUCGCCUAACUCCGUGCCAGCGGCCGCGGCAAUACGGAGGAUUCAAGCGUUAACCUGAUUUAUUGGGUUGAAAGGGUGCGUAGGCGGUUCGGUAAGUUGGGGGUGAAAUCCCGGGGCUCAACUCCGGAACUGCCUCUGAUACUGUCGGGCUAGAGUUUAGGUGCGGGAGGCGGAAUGUAUGGUGUAGCGGUGAAAUGCAUAGAGAUCAGACAGAACACCGAUUGCGAAGGCAGCCUACCAGACUGGGACUGACGUUGAGGCGCGAAAGCGUGGGGAGCAAACAGGAUUAGAUACCCCAGUAGUC
Molecule: ribosomal RNA, 460 nt
Filed under: uncultured bacterium
Lineage: Bacteria
Description: partial 16S ribosomal RNA
Rfam family: Bacterial small subunit ribosomal RNA
Source: RNAcentral